GGAUGUGAGGGCGAUCUGGCUGCGACAUGUCACCCCAUUGACCGCCAGGGUUGAUUCGGCUGACCUGGCUGGCUAGGCGGGGGUCCCCUUCCUCCCUCACUGCUCCAUGUGCGUCCCUCCCGAAGUUGCUCCCUCGGUGGAAGAGGACGACCAACCCCGAUAGAGGAGGACCGUUUCCUUGGUCAAGGGUAUCCAAGUAGCUGCGCUCCCCUGCCAGAACCUCCAAACAAGCUCUCAUCUCAUUUAGUCUUCAUAGCCAGGUAGGAAGUGCUAUUCCCAUUUUAGUCAUGAAAACACUGGGCUCAAAGAGAAGCAACUGCAGCGCACACCUGU
Molecule: small nuclear RNA, 333 nt
Filed under: Heterocephalus glaber (naked mole-rat)
Lineage: Eukaryota; Metazoa; Chordata; Mammalia; Rodentia; Bathyergidae
Description: 7SK RNA
Rfam family: 7SK RNA
About the family: 7SK was discovered as an abundant small nuclear RNA in the mid-70s but a possible function has only recently been suggested.
Source: Rfam by way of RNAcentral